GAUGAACGCUGACAGAAUGCUUAACACAUGCAAGUCUUUGGCGAAUCUGUGCUUGCACAGGCUAGCCAAGGCGGACGGGUGAGUAACGCGUAAAGAACUUGCCCUGCAGACAGGGAUAACAGACGGAAACGACUGAUAACACCUGAUACAGUUGCCGGCACGCAUGUGCCUGGCAAUGAAAAGAGAUGCUGCAGGAGAGCUUUGCGUCCUAUUAGCUUGUUGGUGAGGUGACGGCUCACCAAGGCGAUGAUAGGUAGCCGGCCUGAGAGGGUGAACGGCCACAAGGGGACUGAGAUACGGCCCUUACUCCUACGGGAGGCAGCAGUGGAGAAUAUUGGACAAUGGGGGCAACCCUGAUCCAGCAAUUCUGUGUGGACGAAGAAGGUUUUCGGAUUGUAAAGUGCUUUCAGCAGGGAAGAAGAAAGUGACGGUACCUGCAGAAGAAGCGACGGCUAAAUACGUG
This 463-nucleotide ribosomal RNA is filed under the name uncultured bacterium. RNAcentral's name for it is "partial 16S ribosomal RNA". It matches the Rfam family "Bacterial small subunit ribosomal RNA", at positions 28 to 507 of the family's 1533-position model. The record is from RNAcentral.